This 429-nucleotide ribosomal RNA is filed under the name uncultured Geomicrobium sp. RNAcentral describes it as "bacterial SSU rRNA". It matches the Rfam family "Bacterial small subunit ribosomal RNA", at positions 355 to 776 of the family's 1533-position model. The record is from RNAcentral. Lineage: Bacteria; Bacillati; Bacillota; Bacilli; Caryophanales.
UAGGGAAUCAUCCGCAAUGGGCGAAAGCCUGACGGUGCAAUGCCGCGUGAGUGAUGAAGGUUUUCGGAUCGUAAAGCUCUGUUGUGAGGGAAGAACAAGUUCGGGAGGAAAUGCCCGAGCCGUGACGGUACCUCACCAGAAAGCCACGGCUAACUACGUGCCAGCAGCCGCGGUAAUACGUAGGUGGCAAGCGUUGUCCGGAAUUAUUGGGCGUAAAGGGCACGCAGGCGGUUCUUUAAGUCUGAUGUGAAAGGCUGUGGCUCAACCACAGAAUUGCAUUGGAAACUGGAGAACUUGAGUGCAGAAGAGGAGAGUGGAAUUCCACGUGUAGCGGUGAAAUGCGUAGAUAUGUGGAGGAACACCAGUGGCGAAGGCGACUCUCUGGUCUGUAACUGACGCUGAGGUGCGAAAGCGUGGGGAGCAAACAGG